Molecule: ribosomal RNA, 439 nt
Filed under: uncultured bacterium
Lineage: Bacteria
Description: partial 16S ribosomal RNA
Rfam family: Bacterial small subunit ribosomal RNA
Source: RNAcentral
CUACGGGACGCUGCAGUGAGGAAUAUUGCACAAUGGGGGGAACCCUGAUGCAGCAACGCCGCGUGGAGGAUGACGCAUUUCGGUGUGUAAACUCCUUUUAUAUGUCAAGAAAAUGACGGUAGCAUAUGAAUAAGCACCGGCUAACUCCGUGCCAGCAGCCGCGGUAAUACGGAGGGUGCAAGCGUUACUCGGAAUCACUGGGCGUAAAGGACGCGUAGGCGGGUUGGAAAGUCAGGUGUGAAAUCCUACAGCUUAACUGUAGAACUGCACUUGAAACUUCUAAUCUAGAGUAUGGGAGGGGGAGAUGGAAUUCGUGGUGUAGGGGUAAAAUCCGUAGAUAUCACUAGGAAUACCUAAAGCGAAGGCGAUCUCCUGGAACAUUACUGACGCUGAGGUGCGAAGGCGUGGGUAGCAAACAGGAUUAGAUACCCUAGUAGUC